GAAUUUGAAAAGAGAAAGAGAAGAUGCAUACCACAUAUGCUGCUAAAAUGGCGUAAACAAUCAUCAAUGAUUGUAUCAAAAUUCUUAACAAGACCAGGUAACCCAUAUGAUUUUCCAUGUCCUUCAUAAUCUAUACCAUAUACUGCAUAUCCACCAUUUGCAAGUCUUCUUGCAGUGCCUAUAUAUUCAUUCAUUCAAUUCAAGUAUAAUAUAAUUAUGAUAUCAUAUAAUAAAAGAAAAAAGGAAAAAUUUAAUUACUUACUGUCCAUGGUGAUGCUGCAUUCCAUGGCAUAUCCAUGACACAUGAAUAUUAAUGCUUUUGGAUUUUCGUUUGCAGGAAUCCAACUUGUUGCCAAUAGCUUCAUUCCUCGUGAAUUCAAUACGAAACCCUGAAUAAAAUAAAAACAGAACGUUUCUUUUGAUUAAGAUAAAGUCCUAUAAUAAACA
Molecule: long non-coding RNA, 447 nt
Filed under: Medicago truncatula (barrel medic)
Lineage: Eukaryota; Viridiplantae; Streptophyta; Magnoliopsida; Fabales; Fabaceae
Description: long non-coding RNA (MTRU_LNC007921)
Source: RNAcentral